RNAcentral lists this non-coding RNA (107 nucleotides) under Priestia megaterium. Its description in RNAcentral is "Bacillus megaterium SAM-I sequence". It matches the Rfam family "SAM riboswitch aptamer (S box leader)". From Rfam's summary of the family: The SAM riboswitch is found upstream of a number of genes which code for proteins involved in methionine or cysteine biosynthesis in Gram-positive bacteria. The record is from RNAcentral. RNAcentral also lists the same sequence under 1 other name. Lineage: Bacteria; Bacillati; Bacillota; Bacilli; Caryophanales; Bacillaceae.
UUCUUAUCAAGAGAGACGGAGGGACUGGCCCUAUGAUGUCUCGGCAACUGGCUGUACGCAGUGCGGUGCCAAAUCCAGCAGACGAUGUUUCGUUUGGAAGAUGAGAA